This 48-nucleotide transfer RNA is filed under the name Riccia inflexa. RNAcentral's name for it is "partial tRNA-Phe". The record is from RNAcentral. Lineage: Eukaryota; Viridiplantae; Streptophyta; Marchantiopsida; Marchantiales; Ricciaceae.
CCGGGAUAGCUCAGUUGGUAGAGCAGAGGACUSAAAAUCCUCGUGUCC